This is a long non-coding RNA of Balaenoptera ricei (Rice's whale), 393 nucleotides long. RefSeq lists it as uncharacterized. Lineage: Eukaryota; Metazoa; Chordata; Mammalia; Artiodactyla; Balaenopteridae. The record is from RefSeq and is a predicted model, not a curated record. The transcript has 3 exons.
AGGGUCAUGUCAGCAUGUCCUUGUCUCCUACCUGGACCUUUUGGGAGGAAGCAGAAGCUUUCUCAGAAACAACUCUCACCUACUUUUAGGUCUCACUGGUGAGAACUCAGACGCAUGGCCACUGGAUGCAAGCAGGUAUAAAAACUGAGAAAUUCUGUGGUAUGUACUUACACUGGAAUAUGAUUCAGCCGUAAAAAGGAAUGAAAUUCUGAUGCAACACAGAUGAAUCUUGAAAACGUUAAGUGAUGGAAGCCAGACAGAAAACGACAAAUACUGUAUGAUUCCACUUACAUGAGAAGACAGCUGGAUUCUCCUAUCGGCUCCUGCAAUGUUUCAUUAUCACAUGUCAUAUAACAUCAGGAAAAUGUGACUGUAUGCUCGUGAAAGGAUGGG